This 27-nucleotide non-coding RNA is filed under the name Mus musculus (house mouse). Lineage: Eukaryota; Metazoa; Chordata; Mammalia; Rodentia; Muridae. The record is from RNAcentral.
UGUAUACAUUAAGUGUGCAGGUCCAAU